ACGCUCGACACCUACGGGAGGAGCAGUUAGGAAUAUUGGGCAAUGGAGGAAACUCUGACCCAGCAACGCCGCGUGAAGGAAGAAGGUUUUCGGAUUGUAAACUUCUGAUCUAGGGGAAGAAGGAAGUGACGGUACCCUAGGAGAAAGCCACGGCUAACUACGUGCCGCAGCCGCGGUAAUCUGAGCGGGCGUGGCAAGGC
This 200-nucleotide ribosomal RNA is filed under the name uncultured bacterium. Its description in RNAcentral is "partial 16S ribosomal RNA". It matches the Rfam family "Bacterial small subunit ribosomal RNA", at positions 328 to 538 of the family's 1533-position model. The record is from RNAcentral.